UGGGGAAUAUUGCACAAUGGGCGCAAGCCUGAUGCAGCCAUGCCGCGUGUGUGAAGAAGGCCUUCGGGUUGUAAAGCACUUUCAGCGGGGAGGAAGGCGAUAAGGUUAAUAACCUUGUCGAUUGACGUUACCCGCAGAAGAAGCACCGGCUAACUCCGUGCCAGCAGCCGCGGUAAUACGGAGGGUGCAAGCGUUAAUCGGAAUUACUGGGCGUAAAGCGCACGCAGGCGGUCUGUCAAGUCGGAUGUGAAAUCCCCGGGCUUAACCUGGGAACUGCAUUCGAAAGUGGCAGGCUAGAGUCUUGUAGAGGGGGGUAGAAUUCCAGGUGUAGCGGUGAAAUGCGUAGAGAUCUGGAGGAAUACCGGUGGCGAAGGCGGCCCCCUGGACGAAGACUGACGCUCAGGUGCGAAAGCGUGGGGAGCAAACAGG
Molecule: ribosomal RNA, 429 nt
Filed under: Chloroflexota bacterium
Lineage: Bacteria; Bacillati; Chloroflexota
Description: Chloroflexi bacterium partial 16S ribosomal RNA
Rfam family: Bacterial small subunit ribosomal RNA
Source: RNAcentral